RNAcentral lists this transfer RNA (83 nucleotides) under Sphenostylis stenocarpa. RNAcentral's name for it is "tRNA gene-AYBTSS11_LOCUS15740". It matches the Rfam family "tRNA". From Rfam's summary of the family: Transfer RNA (tRNA) molecules are approximately 80 nucleotides in length. Lineage: Eukaryota; Viridiplantae; Streptophyta; Magnoliopsida; Fabales; Fabaceae. The record is from RNAcentral.
GUCGGGAUGGCCGAGUGGUCUAAGGCGUCGGACUCAAGUUCCGAUCCUCCUACGAGGGCGUGGGUUCAAAUCCCACUUCGACA